RNAcentral lists this ribosomal RNA (490 nucleotides) under uncultured bacterium. RNAcentral describes it as "partial 16S ribosomal RNA". It matches the Rfam family "Bacterial small subunit ribosomal RNA", at positions 30 to 507 of the family's 1533-position model. The record is from RNAcentral.
AUUGAACGCUGGCGGCAGGCCUAACACAUGCAAGUCGAAUGGUAACAGGAAACAGCUUGCUGUUUCGCUGACGAGUGGCGGACGGGUGAGUAAUGUCUGGGAAACUGCCUGAUGGAGGGGGAUAACUACUGGAAACGGUAACUAAUACCGCAUAACGUCGCAAGGCCAAAGAGGGGGACCUUCGGGCCUCUUGCCAUCAGAUGUGCCCAGAUGGGAUUAGCUAGUAGGUGGGGUAACGGCUCACCUAGGCGACGAUCCCUAGCUGGUCUGAGAGGAUGACCAGCCACACUGGAACUGAGACACGGUCCAGACUCCUACGGGAGGCAGCAGUGGGGAAUAUUGCACAAUGGGCGCAAGCCUGAUGCAGCCAUGCCGCGUGUAUGAAGAAGGCCUUCGGGUUGUAAAGUACUUUCAGCGGGGAGGAAGGGAGUAAAGUUAAUACCUUUGCUCAUUGACGUUACCCGCAGAAGAAGCACCGGCUAACUCCGUG